RNAcentral lists this ribosomal RNA (253 nucleotides) under uncultured bacterium. Its description in RNAcentral is "partial 16S ribosomal RNA". It matches the Rfam family "Bacterial small subunit ribosomal RNA", at positions 524 to 776 of the family's 1533-position model. The record is from RNAcentral.
UACAGAGACUGCGAGCGUUAUUCGGAUUUACUGGGCGUAAAGCGCACGUAGGCGGACUAUUAAGUCAGGGGUGAAAUCCCGGGGCUCAACCCCGGAACUGCCUUUGAUACUGGUAGUCUUGAGUUCGAGAGAGGUGAGUGGAAUUCCGAGUGUAGAGGUGAAAUUCGUAGAUAUUCGGAGGAACACCAGUGGCGAAGGCGGCUCACUGGCUCGAUACUGACGCUGAGGUGCGAAAGCGUGGGGAGCAAACAGG